Molecule: ribosomal RNA, 406 nt
Filed under: uncultured bacterium
Lineage: Bacteria
Description: partial 16S ribosomal RNA
Rfam family: Bacterial small subunit ribosomal RNA
Source: RNAcentral
AUUGAACGCUGGCGGCAGGCCUAACACAUGCAAGUCGAACGAGUGGCGGACGGGUGAGUAAUGUCUGGUAAACUGCCCGCUGGAGGGGGAUAACUACUGGAAACGGUAGCUAAUACCUCCUACCAUCGGAUUUUCCCAGAUGGGAUUAGCUAGUAGGUGGGGUAAAGGCUCACCUAGGCGACGAUCCCUAGCUGGUCUGAGAGGAUGACCAGCAACACGGGAACGGAGACAAGGUCCAGAAUCCGACGGGAGGCAGCAGUGGGGAAUAUGGCACAAGGGGCGCAAGCGUGAUGCAGCCAUGCCGCGUGUAUGAAGAAGGCCUUCGGGUUGUAAAGUACUUUAAGCGGGGAGGCGUUACCCGCAGAAGAAGCACCGGCUAACUCCGUGCCAGCAGCCGCGGUAAUAC